GAUGAACGCUGGCGGCGUGCCUAAUACAUGCAAGUCGAGCGAACAGACGAGGAGCUUGCUCCUUUGACGUUAGCGGCGGACGGGUGAGUAACACGUAGGUAACCUACCUAUAAGACUGGGAUAACUUCGGGAAACCGGAGCUAAUACCGGAUAAUAUUUCGAACCGCAUGGUUCGAUAGUGAAAGAUGGCUUUGCGAUCACUUAUAGAUGGACCUGCGCCGUAUUAGCUAGUUGGUAAGGUAACGGCUUACCAAGGCAACGAUACGUAGCCGACCUGAGAGGGUGAUCGGCCACACUGGAACUGAGACACGGUCCAGACUCCUACGGGAGGCAGCAGUAGGGAAUCUUCCGCAAUGGGCGAAAGCCUGACGGAGCAACGCCGCGUGAGUGAUGAAGGUCUUCGGAUCGUAAAACUCUGUUAUUAGGGAAGAACAAACGUGUAAGUAACUGUGCACGUCUUGACGGUACCUAAUCAGAAAGCCACGGCUAACUACGUG
This 497-nucleotide ribosomal RNA is filed under the name uncultured bacterium. RNAcentral's name for it is "partial 16S ribosomal RNA". It matches the Rfam family "Bacterial small subunit ribosomal RNA", at positions 28 to 507 of the family's 1533-position model. The record is from RNAcentral.